AACGAGAACCUUUUGUUCCGUAAGGAGCAGAGGGGGACAAUGGCGAACGGGUGCGUAACACGUGAGAAACCUGCCCCGAAGACCGGGAUAGCCCGGGGAAACCCGGAUUAAUACCGGAUACCCUCCCGAGAUCGCAUGAUCUCUCGAGGAAACGGUCCGCCGCUUCGGGAUGGUCUCGCGGCCUAUCAGCUUGUUGGUGAGGUAACGGCUCACCAAGGCUACGACGGGUAGCUGGUCUGAGAGGACGAUCAGCCACACUGGGACUGAGACACGGCCCAGACUCCUACGGGAGGCAGCAGCAGGGAAUAUUGCACAAUGGGCGCAAGCCUGAUGCAGCGACGCCGCGUGCGGGAUGAAAGCCUUCGGGUUGUAAACCGCUUUCAGAGGGACGAAAAUUGACGGUACUUUCAGAAGAAGCCCCGGCCAACUACGUGCU
RNAcentral lists this ribosomal RNA (436 nucleotides) under uncultured Actinomycetes bacterium. RNAcentral's name for it is "bacterial SSU rRNA". It matches the Rfam family "Bacterial small subunit ribosomal RNA", at positions 65 to 509 of the family's 1533-position model. Lineage: Bacteria; Bacillati; Actinomycetota; Actinomycetes. The record is from RNAcentral.